GACGAACGCUGGCGGCGUGCUUAACACAUGCAAGUCGAACGGAAAGGCCCCUUUGGGGGUACUCGAGUGGCGAACGGGUGAGUAACACGUGAGUAACCUGCCCUUGACUUCGGGAUAACUUCAGGAAACUGGGGCUAAUACCGGAUAGGAAUCCUUGCUGCAUGGUGGGGGUUGGAAAGCUUCGGCGGUUUUGGCUGGACUCGCGGCUUAUCAGCUUGUUGGUGGGGUAGUGGCUUACCAAGGCUUUGACGGGUAGCCGGCCUGAGAGGGCGACCGGCCACAUUGGGACUGAGAGACGGCCCAGACUCCGACGGGAGGCAGCAGUGGGGAAUAUUGCACAAUGGGCGGAAGCCUGAUGCAGCAACGCCGCGUGCGGGAUGACGGCCUUCGGGUUGUAAACCGCUUUCAGCAGGGGCGAAGCUUGUGGUGACGGUACCUGCAGAAGAAGCACCGGCUAACUACGUG
Molecule: ribosomal RNA, 465 nt
Filed under: uncultured bacterium
Lineage: Bacteria
Description: partial 16S ribosomal RNA
Rfam family: Bacterial small subunit ribosomal RNA
Source: RNAcentral